This 995-nucleotide ribosomal RNA is filed under the name uncultured organism. RNAcentral's name for it is "bacterial SSU rRNA". It matches the Rfam family "Bacterial small subunit ribosomal RNA", at positions 356 to 1376 of the family's 1533-position model. The record is from RNAcentral.
GGGGAAUAUUGCACAAUGGGCGAAAGCCUGAUGCAGCGACGCCGCGUGAGCGAAGAAGUAUUUCGGUAUGUAAAGCUCUAUCAGCAGGGAAGAUAAUGACGGUACUCAACAAGGAAGUGACGGCUAACUACGUGCCAGCAGCCGCGGUAAAACGUAGGUCACAAGCGUUGUCCGGAAUUACUGGGUGUAAAGGGAGCGCAGGCGGGAAGACAAGUUGGAAGUGAAAUCUAUGGGCUCAACCCAUAAACUGCUUUCAAAACUGUUUUUCUUGAGUAGUGCAGAGGUAGGCGGAAUUCCCGGUGUAGCGGUGGAAUGCGUAGAUAUCGGGAGGAACACCAGUGGCGAAGGCGGCCUACUGGGCACCAACUGACGCUGAGGCUCGAAAGUGUGGGUAGCAAACAGGAUUAGAUACCCUGGUAGUCCACACCGUAAACGAUGAUUACUAGGUGUUGGAGGAUUGACCCCUUCAGUGCCGCAGUUAACACAAUAAGUAAUCCACCUGGGGAGUACGACCGCAAGGUUGAAACUCAAAGGAAUUGACGGGGGCCCGCACAAGCAGUGGAGUAUGUGGUUUAAUUCGACGCAACGCGAAGAACCUUACCAAGUCUUGACAUCCUGCGACGAUGCUGGAAACAGUAUUUUCCUUCGGGACGCAGAGACAGGUGGUGCAUGGUUGUCGUCAGCUCGUGUCGUGAGAUGUUGGGUUAAGUCCCGCAACGAGCGCAACCCUUACUGUCAGUUACUACGCAAGAGGACUCUGGCAGGACUGCCGUUGACAAAACGGAGGAAGGUGGGGAUGACGUCAAAUCAUCAUGCCCUUUAUGACUUGGGCUACACACGUACUACAAUGGCGUUAAACAAAGAGAAGCAAGACCGCGAGGUGGAGCAAAACUCAGAAACAACGUCCCAGUUCGGACUGCAGGCUGCAACUCGCCUGCACGAAGUCGGAAUUGCUAGUAAUCGUGGAUCAGCAUGCCACGGUGAAUACGUUCCCG